RNAcentral lists this ribosomal RNA (490 nucleotides) under uncultured bacterium. RNAcentral's name for it is "partial 16S ribosomal RNA". It matches the Rfam family "Bacterial small subunit ribosomal RNA", at positions 30 to 507 of the family's 1533-position model. The record is from RNAcentral.
AUUGAACGCUGGCGGCAGGCCUAACACAUGCAAGUCGAACGGUAACAGGAAGAAGCUUGCUUCUUUGCUGACGAGUGGCGGACGGGUGAGUAAUGUCUGGGAAACUGCCUGAUGGAGGGGGAUAACUACUGGAAACGGUAGCUAAUACCGCAUAACGUCGCAAGACCAAAAAGGGGGACCUUCGGGCCUCUUGCCAUCGGCUGUGCCCAGAUGGGAUUAGCUAGUAGGUGGGGUAACGGCUCACCUAGGCGACGAUCCCUAGCUGGUCUGAGAGGAUGACCAGCCACACUGGAACUGAGACACGGUCCAGACUCCUACGGGAGGCAGCAGUGGGGAAUAUUGCACAAUGGGCGCAAGCCUGAUGCAGCCAUGCCGCGUGUAUGAAGAAGGCCUUCGGGUUGUAAAGUACUUUCAGCGGGGAGGAAGGGAGUAAAGUUAAUACCUUUGCUCAUUGACGUUACCCGCAGAAGAAGCACCGGCUAACUCCGUG